RNAcentral lists this ribosomal RNA (448 nucleotides) under uncultured bacterium. RNAcentral describes it as "partial 16S ribosomal RNA". It matches the Rfam family "Bacterial small subunit ribosomal RNA", at positions 330 to 794 of the family's 1533-position model. The record is from RNAcentral.
UCCAGACUCCUACGGGAGGCAGCAGUGGGGGAUAUUGCACAAUGGGGGGAACCCUGAUGCAGCGACGCCGCGUGGGUGAAGGAGCGUUUCGGCGCGUAAAGCCCUAUCGGCAGGGAAGAAGGAGGACGGUACCUGACUAAGAAGCCCCGGCUAACUACGUGCCAGCAGCCGCGGUAAUACGUAGGGGGCAAGCGUUAUCCGGAUUUACUGGGUGUAAAGGGGGCGCAGACGGCAGCGCAAGCCAGGAGUGAAAGCCCGGGGCCCAACCCCGGGACUGCUCUUGGAACUGCGCGGCUGGAGUGCAGGAGGGGCAGGCGGAAUUCCUGGUGUAGCGGUGAAAUGCGUAGAUAUCAGGAGGAACACCGGUGGCGAAGGCGGCCUGCUGGACUGCGACUGACGUUGAGGCCCGAAAGCGUGGGGAGCAAACAGGAUUAGAUACCCCUGUAUC